RNAcentral lists this non-coding RNA (183 nucleotides) under Ferroacidibacillus organovorans. RNAcentral describes it as "Acidibacillus ferrooxidans 6S / SsrS RNA". It matches the Rfam family "6S / SsrS RNA". From Rfam's summary of the family: E. coli 6S RNA was the first non coding RNA to be sequenced, but its function was unknown until recently. It consists of 184 nucleotides that fold into an extended hairpin structure with a large single-stranded internal bulge. Lineage: Bacteria; Bacillati; Bacillota; Bacilli; Caryophanales; Alicyclobacillaceae. The record is from Rfam by way of RNAcentral.
UCACACCUGCCGUGUGCGUAUGAGGGCUUAUGUUUUGAACCUUACGUGUUAUAAGGGAAACAGAUCGGAGUUUCGUGCUGGCAUGCCCUCUUUGAAGGGACGUCAAACACUCGAAACCACAGUUGCCCACCUGCGAGAGCAGGUUCGAAAACACGCGUCCUUUACGGCAUGCGCGGGUUUUAA